UAGUCAUUCAAAUACGAUAACUUUUGGCAAACUUACAAGAUGUUUCUUAUCAUAAUGCAAGAAAAUAAUAUUUCAACUUUCCCACUUGCUUGUGGAGUUGAGUGUAUAACACUGUUCAACCUUGUCCGAGAAGUGUUAAAGAUGUGCAAAGGUUUGUUCUUAUUUUUAUUUUGGACUUGUCUGGUCAAGGGAUUUAACGGUGUGUGUCUAAGGGUGUCAGCAUUUGUCCCCCUGUUCAACAUGGGCUAACAGGCCUAUAAAACAAAGCACAUAUAACAUGGUAACUUAUAUUUCAUGUCCUGGGCAUGAAUUGUUUGUGUAUUAUAGUGUCCGAAAUAUCUCGUCCCAUGACCAAGGGUGCAGAUACGUGGUAAAAUGUUGGAUUUAUUUUUUAUUUUUUAUUUUUUGGGACAGGGUACUAACUACUAAUAUGACUUCUAAAUUUGGUAAUAAUCUAUUUCUAGUGACAUUAGCUCAAAUGGUUUAUGGUUUAGGACAAUAUAAAGCUCAAUGUGAAAUCUCUCAAGCUUCACCAAUAUUUUAGCUUCUAUGUUGUUUAACAUCAGAACGUGACAAAAAUUCUGUAGCAGCUGGUAUAUUUAUUGGCUAAAAAAUUCCCUUUCAUGAAAGUCUUGGGAGUGUUGGAGAGUGUGUUCGAAUCUUAUCGGAAAACAUGUAACUUUAUGUUAGAUUGUCGUUGGAGAUGAUCUUAUAGCCAAAUUUCUAUAUUGAAAUCCUUAUAAAACUGCAGAAAGAUAAUGGUAACAUACAAAAAAUGCAUUUAUAUAUCAAUAGAGACAUUGAAUUCCACUUCUAAAAUCAAUAGAUCUCUCGAAAUACUCUUUUUUUCUAGCCCCAUUAGUUAAAUGAUUUGUGACUUGGGGGGUCAAACAUAAAGCUUACUGUGAAAUCUUCUUUUUGUAGGUCUUCAUUAGCCUUUCUAGUGUAUGUAGUAUGUACUGAGCACAUGGAAACAACCAUGAACACUACUGCUAUAAUUAUUUGUAUUUAUCAUUAUAGUGAUUCUGGAAGUAGACAUGAUUUAAAAAGUUCAUUUCCUCAAUUGUACAAAAUAAGUAGCUUCCUGUAUUGCAAAAAUUGCCAUGAUUUUUAGUAAAGAGAAAACCGCCUUGCUAUGAAAUAAUGUAUUGAUCCUGCCACGAAAUACUUUUUUUUGAGUGACUUCUGUGAAGGGUCAUUUAUUAUUUAUUUAUUUAUUAUUGUUAUUAUUAUUAUUAUUUUUUGUGUGUGGGUGGGUGGGCUUUCUGAAAGUACCUCAUUGCUAUGCUCCCCAUUUUCCUUUUCCAUUUGGUUCGACAUUUCUUGCAAGACCAUAUGGUAAUUACUUCUAGAGCCUUUAUAUAUCUUGAAAGUAUAACCAUCUGUGAAUGAUUAUUGAUGUUACAUGCUAAACUAUCACGAUUCCAGGGUGUAUCAAGAAGUUUAAACAAGGAAUGUGUUGCUAGAUCAGAACCUUCUAAGGUGCGUUUUUUGUUCUUUAAAUAAAUCAGGAAAUGUUUCUUCCCAUUUCCUAUGACAUUAGGCAUGGCAAUGUGCUUUCCUUCUUUGUUGUUCAGUUGAUUACCUAACUUGCAUUUACCGUGUUGACAGUGUUUCUUUCCUCAAGAAUUUAUAAAAAGUAUAAAG
RNAcentral lists this long non-coding RNA (1647 nucleotides) under Olea europaea subsp. europaea. Lineage: Eukaryota; Viridiplantae; Streptophyta; Magnoliopsida; Lamiales; Oleaceae. The record is from RNAcentral.